AACAUUUUUCUCAAGAAAAUACUCAACGUACGGUUCAACAAUUCUCCACUCGGUGUUUUGGAUCAGAAGCAUCCGGUCGAAGAAUUUGAAUUCCUCAAACGAAGCUGCCCAUUUCUGAGAUAUUGCACACAAGACACAUCUGAGAGGAAUACAUCACAUUUACGGCCAUUCCAUUCGUCUCUAUGUCUACGCGACUCAGAUUUAAUUUGGAGCAACAGGUGGCUAUUCAAUAAACCGGAAAUAUGAUUGCAGGGCAGGGUACAUCCGAAUUUUGCUAGAUAAACUUGGAUGAGGUGAUACCCAUUUGUUCAUGUAGUGGGAAAGUAGUUUUUUAUACUGUGUAUCCACAAAGUUACAAUAAUCCUGCAGCUCUUUGGUGCGUACAGUGUAUAUGCAGAAAUACUGGGAAACCAACCACAACAAAAUCUGGCAGAUCGAUUUGCAAUCGAGAAAAUACGUUAUUGCCGACUCGACGUCGCGCAGUGCGGACGUAUUUGUGAGCAUAAAAUUGAAUACAAGCUAUCUUCUGUUUCGUGGAUUAAACUGGACACAACGCUACAUCAAUACGGUGAGAUCGUUUCUGUAUAUCUGGUCUGUAUAUACUUCUGUAUAAAACGUGACUGAAAUCCAGUACAAAUUUUCUUCCGAGUGUGACCGUUUAUCACGGAUAAAGCUGUUUUGAGUUAUAAGACGGACGGCGAGGAAUCGCCAACCUUUCCGCAGUGGGGAAGAGGAAGGGGGACGAUAGUAAUUUUAAUGCCCCAAGUAAAGUAAAAAUCCACACAAUAAGUCAAGAAAAUGACGUCACAUACACCUACUUUGUUGUACAGGGUACUCAGAAUAAGAGGAGAACGUACAAUUCUAAAGUUAUACAAAGAAAUUUAGUGCAAAACUUUGGAACAUUAAAAUCGGUCCGUGUGCUUGGUUAUGGGGAUUUAAAAAUGGAAUGUUCAAACGAAAAGCAAGUUAAACUACAGUUGGAAUAUGAUGAUAUCGGCGAUAGCACAACCAGCAUUUUAGUGACGACCGAAUUGUUUGUAAACAAUGACCAAAAAACUAAAGUGAUAAUUAUCGAUGUGCCAAUUGACAUGGCCGAUAAUUGUUUGUUGGACGCAUUAUCCGUUGUGUUGUCUUUUCGAAGGCAAGUUUGUGCAGAGUAUACCAGUUUUGCUUAGUUUUAACACAUGCAUUGUACCAUCAAUCGUAUCUAUCGGCUUUAUGCGAUUCAGUACCAGAGUUUACAACCUUCCGCCGAUUCGUUGUUUUAAAUGUAUUAGAUUGACAAUGUAGCUAAAAAUUGUCGUUGUUCAGUUCACAUCGCUGCACAUUGUGGCUGCGAAGCAUAUAAAAGGAAACGAUUGAUUCAGAAAACAAUGGCGAGUACAAAACUAUCGUAUGAGGAGGCAAAGAACCAUAUUAAACAAACUUUUUCAGAACACAUGCAAUUUUCAGCAAAUGAAAUUAUUUUCCGGCUCUUCCCAGUUGUUAUGAUUUGAAAGAUAUAUUGUUAACAUACAAGUCAUCUCAACAAGUGCCUAUUAUUGGUCAAUCUAAUCAAGUAAAAGAAGAUAAGAAUGCACCUAUAUCUCUGGACCCAAUACCAUUUUUUGAUAAAGAACACGUUUGAGGUUUCUCAAAGUGGAAAAGAAUGUGAUGUUUACUCUAUUGUCUCGAUGUCCGCUGGCGCUCAAUUUGGUUUCGAUGUCGACGCUGGCAACCUUAAAAAUGCAAUAAAAAAGCAUUCAACCAAAAAAUAAAACUAACUAUCAUCCAAUAGAAUAUACCGGAACCCGGGAGAAAUAAAAAUUUUUAUUCGUGCUUCACACCCAAAACCUGACUUAAGAGCCCUUCAAGAAAGCAAUCUGAUAGGAUGCUUGUUAUCUUAAAAGCAAUCCUAAAUAGAGCUCAGUUAAAAGCACAAACUCUCGAUUAACUAGAGUUUAACCCAGCACACAAAUUCCCUCUGACUCAGUUAGGGCCCUAAAAACGGAGUUGGGGGUUUCGGCAUAAUAAUCGUGUCUAAAAUUGUACAAAUCUCUACAAAAUAAUAACGUAAAAAAUAUAAAAUUGUAAGAUAACACUGAAUUUAUAACAUAAUUAAUUGAGUGAAUUGAGGUUAUCCCUGAUGCUAAAAUAGUAAUUCGA
Styela clava is the source of this 2145-nucleotide long non-coding RNA. RefSeq lists it as uncharacterized. The record is from RefSeq and is a predicted model, not a curated record. NCBI's taxonomy places the organism in Eukaryota, Metazoa, Chordata, Ascidiacea, Stolidobranchia, Styelidae.